GGGCUCGUGGUCUAGCGGCUUGCAGUUGCCCGUGGAUGACGCUUCCUUGACGUGGAAGAGGUCGGCGGUUCAAAUCCGCUCGAGCCCA
RNAcentral lists this transfer RNA (88 nucleotides) under Candidatus Aenigmatarchaeota archaeon. RNAcentral describes it as "tRNA-Val". It matches the Rfam family "tRNA". From Rfam's summary of the family: Transfer RNA (tRNA) molecules are approximately 80 nucleotides in length. Lineage: Archaea; Nanobdellati; Candidatus Aenigmatarchaeota. The record is from RNAcentral.